UGCAGAACGAGAUCAAAAGUGGCUAUGGUCAUGACAGUUUUCGGUCAUUUUAACUCAUGGUCUAAAUCAUAGUACAAGGGGAUUGCAUACCCGAGCAAGAGAACUAUUUAACUCCAAUAAGCGAAACAGAGAACGAGAAGGCGGAAAGGGUCAAGUUGACGAGCUACUCGGAAUCUACACUGAACGAUGUAUCACUUGCAACCUCAGCCAGAAGCAUCAGGCUACCUGAAGACACACUAUUGAACAAGACAGAGUACAAAGAAUUUACUAAGAGCUUGCACCAGUCGCAACGCCACCGCAUUAUUGAGAAUAGGCGCCGGAUAGCCGCAGAAUUGAAGACUCAGCAGGAACAGUUAGAAAAAGAGCGUCAAGAAAUGGACCAUUUUGAAAGACGAGUCAUUCGCUCGUUUUCCGAAAGGUGGGCCAAGCAGAUUCCGAUAGGACACAAGCGACCUCGUGGCUACUCGUACUCUCGUGCCCAAAGUGCUGGAUCCAUUUCUCUCAUGGGAUCUUACCGGCUUGCAACUGGAGCAGGAAGUGCCGUGCCGCACUACAGUAGAGGCCUCUUCUCACGACGUUCAUUCAGUGCUGGAGCCAUUUCACCAUCGUCUUGUAUGAAAUGCUCCGUGCGGGCGUCAGGCAUCCGUGAACCGUCUCCAGCAAGAGGCAGAAGUUGGAGAGAUGCAGGAUUACCACAGGUCAAUACUGUUUAUGAAAAAUUUAUCUAGCAGUUCUAAUCAAUUUCGUUUGUUUCAAUUAUUGAUCUUCUUUGUUUCUUUUACAACAUGUUCCGUGGACAGAGUUGUUUGAAUUGCGGAAGAUGGAGAACGGUUGAUACACUGAAGGACGGCUGGCACAUCCACCACAAGCAUGUUUAGCAGCAAAUCAACUGGAUCCAUGAUCAUCAGUAAUUAUCUAUUUAUGUAUGCAUAAUUAUCGCAAUCAACUACCAUGUGCCCAACAUUUAGCGUUCAUUUUAGCUAGUACACUGCCGCUACCUUACGUAUGAUGACAUAGAACAGAAUUAUCAUUUUGUAAAGUACGUUGGUAUCUAGGAAUCAUGCAUCUACAUGUCCAGCACUUGAUUGUUCUUAUCAAUAUUCUGCAGUCAAUUAAACAGUUGAAUUUAAACACCAUUUUUCUUAUAGUUCUCCCUCCAAAUUUUCUGCUAAAUUGCUGGCCGGAAAAUACAAAUAAUCUAAUUGUUACAAAAGAAUACAUACCAACGAAUUAGUCUAGUGACAAACACAGAAUCAAAUAAAACGACCAGGAGCGCCGUGGUCAAUCAACUGGGCAUGGAUGGAAACGCGAGACUAAGACAUAGUUUCGAAAAGCUACUGUACUGUAUGAGACAGAAGAAAUGGGACUUUGUAAAAAGUCACGUGACUUAGUAAGUGGCAUAGGGCGUGGCUGGGAUAACUUAUGGUUUGUGAUGCAA
This is an RNA transcript of Corticium candelabrum, 1438 nucleotides long. RefSeq lists it as uncharacterized. The record is from RefSeq and is a predicted model, not a curated record. Lineage: Eukaryota; Metazoa; Porifera; Homoscleromorpha; Homosclerophorida; Plakinidae. The transcript has 3 exons.